Long non-coding RNA from Pantherophis guttatus, 814 nucleotides. RefSeq lists it as uncharacterized. The record is from RefSeq and is a predicted model, not a curated record. Lineage: Eukaryota; Metazoa; Chordata; Lepidosauria; Squamata; Colubridae.
UGUUUGCAUAAUUUGAAUCACACGAAACUUCUGAAAAACUUGGAUUUUGUUCUGAUUUGCCCAAGGUUGAAUCAUGUAUAAAGUGAAUUAAUUCAUAUAACAUUUGAAGCCCAAAAGAAUCUGUUGGCUUAUCUACAGAUAAAUGGAAUUAAUUAAACCGAACUCAGAACAGAUGUAGCAAUAAAUUGCCAGAUUAUGGUUCCAAGAUGGGCCAACAAAGAUGUAGAGAGCAAGAUAUGGAAAAAGAAAAAAGUUUCAAUUAACAAAGGUGAGUGAUUCCAAGAAAGCUAAAUCACAGAUUUCAGAAGAUGUUUUGAAAGAAAUACCUAAUUAACUCCUUUGGUGUGUUUCUGGUGAGAAAGCUCAGAAGAUGUAUCAGAGAGACACAGAAAAUCUAAAUAAUGGCAAGUUAAAAAAAUGUUUACAUUUUGAGGAGAAAAUACCUACUGCUGAACUGAAGGAGAUUGUUUUUCUUCUCCAUGGAAUUGCUUUGAUGAAGUCAUUCUGACAGUCAUUUUGACAUUUCCUUUGAAUCCAUCACAGUAUUAAUCUCCUGCUAUGAUCUUUCCUAACUGGAAGAGCAUCAUCACAAUCAAGGUCAUGCAGGACAUAAACAUUAAUAAGAUUUUUAAUGGAAACAGAAGAUGAGAAUGUGUUUCUACCAGAGUAAUGAUAAACAGCUGUUUCUUCUACUUUUGAAUUUUUGUUUUGUCUUUGUUUAGCCAAAGUUCAUUGAUUCUUGCUGUCUGUACCAAUUAAUCAAAAUAAGUGACUAACAAGUCUGUUCCAAUAAAAAUCCACUGUACAAAACAAA